GGAGGUAUAGCUCAGUGGUAGAGGGCAAACUUAGCAUCCACGAGGUCCUGGGUUCAAUCUCCAAUACCUUCA
This 72-nucleotide transfer RNA is filed under the name Camelus bactrianus (Bactrian camel). It matches the Rfam family "tRNA". Rfam says of the family: Transfer RNA (tRNA) molecules are approximately 80 nucleotides in length. Their secondary structure includes four short double-helical elements and three loops (D, anti-codon, and T loops). Lineage: Eukaryota; Metazoa; Chordata; Mammalia; Artiodactyla; Camelidae. The record is from Rfam by way of RNAcentral. RNAcentral also lists the same sequence under 1 other name.